This 87-nucleotide transfer RNA is filed under the name bacterium. RNAcentral's name for it is "tRNA-Tyr". It matches the Rfam family "tRNA". Rfam says of the family: Transfer RNA (tRNA) molecules are approximately 80 nucleotides in length. Their secondary structure includes four short double-helical elements and three loops (D, anti-codon, and T loops). The record is from RNAcentral.
GGAGGGGUGCCCGAGCGGCUAAAGGGGACAGACUGUAAAUCUGUUGCGCGCGGCGCUUCGGAGGUUCAAAUCCUCCCCCCUCCACCA